Molecule: ribosomal RNA, 810 nt
Filed under: uncultured bacterium
Lineage: Bacteria
Description: bacterial SSU rRNA
Rfam family: Bacterial small subunit ribosomal RNA
Source: RNAcentral
AGAGUUUGAUCAUGGCUCAGAACGAACGCUGGCGGCGUGGAUAAGACAUGCAAGUCGAACGAGAUUUUUUCCUGUAGCAAUACAGGGAAAAGUCUAGUGGCGAACGGGUGCGUAACACGUGGGCAAUCUGCCUUAAAGUGGGGGAUAGCUCGGCGAAAGCCGAAUUAAUACCGCAUGUGAUCAGGGGAGACAUCUUCCCGAAAUCAAAAGUGGCGCAAGCUACUGCUUUUUGAGGAGCCCGCGGCCUAUCAGCUAGUUGGUGAGAUAACGGCUCACCAAGGCUUUGACGGGUAGCUGGUCUGAGAGGACGACCAGUCACACUGGAACUGAGACACGGUCCAGACACCUACGGGUGGCAGCAGUCGAGAAUUUUUCUCAAUGGGGGAAACCCUGAAGGAGCGACGCCGCGUGGAGGAUGAAGGUCUUCGGGUUGUAAACUCCUGUCAUUUGGGAACAAGUGCCGGUAUGUAACUGCUACCGGCUUGAUAGUACCAGAAGAGGAAGGGACGGCUAACUCUGUGCCAGCAGCCGCGGUAAUACAGAGGUCUCAAGCGUUGUUCGGAUUCAUUGGGCGUAAAGGGUGUGUAGGUGGCGCCGUAAGUCGGGUGUGAAAUUUCGGAGCUUAACUCCGAAACUGCAUUCGAUACUGCGGUGCUUGAGGACUGGAGAGGAGACUGGAAUUCAUGGUGUAGCAGUGAAAUGCGUAGAGAUCAUGAGGAAGACCAGUGGCGAAGGCGGGUCUCUGGACAGUUCCUGACACUGAGACACGAAGGCCAGGGGAGCAAACGGGAUUAGAUACCCCAGUAGUCC